This 253-nucleotide ribosomal RNA is filed under the name uncultured bacterium. RNAcentral describes it as "partial 16S ribosomal RNA". It matches the Rfam family "Bacterial small subunit ribosomal RNA", at positions 524 to 776 of the family's 1533-position model. The record is from RNAcentral.
GACAGAGGGGGCAAGCGUUGCUCGGAAUUACUGGGCGUAAAGCGUGCGCAGGCGGUUGGCAAAGUCAGCUGUGAAAGCCCCGGGCUUAACCUGGGAAUGGCGGUUGAAACUAGUCGACUAGAAUCUGGCAGAGGGGGGUGGAAUUCCACGUGUAGCAGUGAAAUGCGUAGAGAUGUGGAGGAACACCAGUGGCGAAGGCGGCUAUCUGGAUCAACACUGACACUGAGGCACAAAAGCGUGGGGAGCAAACAGG